AGUGAGACUUUGCUCUCCUCAGGGACCUUUAGUCAAUAUUUCUGCAGUUAAUGUUGGGGGUCUGUGAUAUUUCAGCCCCUCUCAAGGAGAGGACUUGAUCAGAUCAGAACUGUCUAAGAAGACAUGAUACAUUUCAGUUGCAGUUUAUUGACAGGAGAGUGGACAGGGCAUAAAUUCAAAGUGUCUUUGGUCUCUGGACUAUCUUGUAGGCACGAGUCCAUAAUUCAGCCUCUGCCAAGUUAAUUGCUCUAGGGGUCACAACAUGAUAAAAAUUCUGUUAUCUCGUUUAGAUGUAAGGGACUCCUAACUCAUGAUUUGAUUAAGACACACCAUGGUUUUUAAGGUUGUGUCACUCCAAGCCUGUAAGUGGAAUCCAAACCCCAACAGAAAGUCUGGGGAGAUGGUGCAGUCUGAAACACAAGCACCUCACUGGAUUUCUCAUCUUAGGACUCAUGUAAAGACAACCAUGAUACAGCAGUGUCAACCGGCAAUCUCAGCACUGGCAAGGUGGAGAGAGACAGAUGCCUGGAGUCACUGACCAGCUGCCCCACAGAAAUCAGCUACCUCUGGGUUCAGCGGAAGAUCCUAUCUUGAGAAAUUAGGCCUUUCCCUCUCCACACAUGCUUCAAUAUCUCAUCAGACUGGAACCAUGGUGUGACUACCACAAGGUGUUCUGAACAAAGCAAAAAUUUAAAGAACAGAGAAAAAGUCUUGGGGUAUGGACCAUCGAACCUUUGGACAUAAGGAUAUUUGGGAACUGGUUGAUCUGGAGUGGUGUAAGCAUGGUCACCAGAGCAAGGCUGUUGCUGAUUGCCUGAAAGAACAAGAAACUGUCUCUGAUUGUCUGAUUUCCAGAAUUAAAGCUACUUGUUGGGUGACACUGACAUUUGGACUUCCCUGCAGCUGACCCUGAGGUGAGGCCACAAGUUCUAAGGAGAGCGUGAUGCCUUGUUAGCAUGGCCAAAGGACAGUCUUAAGAGCACUAAGGGCCAGGCAGACAUCUCAUGGUGCCCUUACCAAAAACCAUCUACAUUUGAUGCCCAGGCCUCACCUGGUGGAAGGAGAGAGAUUUCCAGGAUCUACAUUGUGGAAGGAGAGAAUCCACUUCUGAAAAUUAUCCUCUAGCCCCUACACACGUGUGCAUAUUAGUACUAAAUAGAUAAAUACAAUAUAAUCAAAAUUAAAAGACCUCCCCCAGAGAAAAGCUCUUUAAUCCUCAGUAAUAUAGCCAAUUUGUCAAACCACUGACAAUGAAGCAAUAUCUGUGUGGUCUGAAAUGCCUUUGGAAACUGGUGCUGUUGAGAUGGGCAGCUUGAAAGUUUGCGAACCAGCAGCUACGUGAACAACAAAAAGGAUGGAGAGGGGGAAAAAGCACGAAUGCCACAAAAAUGCUUAUUCUUGGUAACUUUUUCAAAUUGUUCUCCAAAUUUUAUUACAAUAUUAGUGCGAGUACAAGAAGCAAUUUCAUUCCCUGGUCAUUGCUAAAGAGGACAUUGGGAGGGAAUGAGGCGAGGAGAGGGGACCAUUGACAUUUGGGUUACAUUAAAUUUAAAAAUAGUUGUUUUUCAGUACUAUAGAAAAGCCCAUAUUUGGUGAUGCGAGUGGAUUCUAAGGGUAAAUUUAGCAUGCUACAAUCUGCAAAUAGCUUUUAAUCUGUUAGUUGCUUAAGUAUUUCUGUCGCCAGUGAGUAAGACUGAUUUAUAUUUGCAUUUAAAGAAACCAUUUAGAGAAAUGUCAUUUCCAGCCAUUGAAACGAAGAGCGUGAGAGUUUUUAGAUUCACAAAAAAGCUAUUUUCCGAAGGUGGUCAGAUUCUAAAUGUAAUCUGGCUGUAAAAACACAGAAAUGUCAGCCCACACCAUAAAGUGGAGCCAAGAAGUCAAAGAUCACAUUCAAAUGAAGCUUUUAAUAAACAUUUUAGAGCAUGAAUAAUUCACUGGCUCAGUAGAUAAUUGAUGGGGGUGAUGGUUGGGGGGUGUCUGUGGUGUGUGGGAGUAUUUGUGCUGGAUGUUGUCAGAGUUCAUUGUGUCUACAAAAUGCACAGCUCAGUUUAUUCUGAGCCAAAUAUGAGUGAUCACGGACCAGGAACACCCAUCUGGGUUGCUCUGAACGGCUUGUUUCGUUGGGGAGGCAGUUAGGUGGACUUCCAUAGUUACAGAAGAAAAGGAAGUCCUAAGUAAAAGUGCUUGCUGAUUGCCGGGGCAGGAGACAGGCAGGUUACAGCAACCGGGAACCUCUGCUACAGAUCCCAGGGCUGACGGAUGAGCUUCUUAACUCUGGGUGGCUAAGUCCAUACAUUCCAAAGGUCUACCUGGUAGCAAAUGUUAGGUCAGAUGCACAAGGUGGGCAGCGGAUACCUGUGAAUGGGACUAAAAGUAGUUCAAGAUAAUUCUGGCUCUGGAUGUUAACAUUCCCACUCUCCACAAUCUCUAGUCUAUCAGCUUUGUAAAGUCCUCAAAAUGGAUGUGGCUAUUGAGGGGGAUUUUAAUGUACAAUUGUUGCCAAGUCUGCAUUAUAUUGGGCAUCUCCACCAUCCAGAAAGACAAAAAGGAAGUUAUAUUUUUCUUUCUUUCUUUCUUUCUUUCUUUCUUUCUUUCUUUCUUUCUUUCUUUCUUUCUCUCUUUCUUUCCUUCUCUUCCUUUCUCUCUCUCUCUCUUUCUUUCUUUCUUUCUCUCUUUCUUACCUGUGAACUUAGAGAUAUGAUGGAAUUGUGGGAGACUUGCUGACUGUGUCCAGUGCUUUCCAUGGAAUGGCAAGAUAUCCUCAUAUCUUGGCUAUUCCAAAGUUUUUCAUUUCCACUUUCUAUCUUAAUGAAAAAAAUUGGCAGUGCUUACUUAUGUCAGAAAAAUAAGACUGAAGGGGUUGGGGCGACUGCGCAGCUAGUGAGUGGAUAGAGCGUAGGCGUGAAGGCCUGAGUACGGCUCCCCUGCACCCAUGCACAAAGCCAGGCACGAUGGAGUGCACACGAAAUUCCUGGCUAGGGCUAGGAUGACUCAGGAGGAUUCCAGCUAGCUAGUCUAGCUGAAUCAGGGAUGAGCGUCAGAAGAGGAAAGGGGGAAGAAGGAUGGGCACGGAGAGGGAGAGAUAUUCUAUACAUUUUGAUACAUGGAAUUUUCAGCAUCGUUCAGAUCUAUCUAAACAUUUUCUAAUUUUCCUUAAAUGUUGGUUUUACUUGAGCCCAUGAAUUAUAUAGCAGCUUGUUAUGAAAUUUACAAAAUGUAUAGUGUUAUAUUCACGUAGUUCCUUUCUAGGUUUAUUUCUUUAAUUCAUGAUGGAUUUAUAUGGAUGUGGAGGGGAAGGGUUACCCACAGUGAGUGCAGGCGCCAUUGGAGGCCAGAAGAGGCCAGGAGAUGGCCUGGAGCUUCGGUUUCAGGCACUUGUGCUGGGAACGGAGCUCUUAACUGCUGAGCCAUCUCCCCAGGCCCUUUAUUAGAAUUCCCCAUCUCUAUCUUAACUGC
This is a non-coding RNA of Rattus norvegicus (Norway rat), 3456 nucleotides long. The record is from RefSeq and is a predicted model, not a curated record. NCBI's taxonomy places the organism in Eukaryota, Metazoa, Chordata, Mammalia, Rodentia, Muridae.